Molecule: ribosomal RNA, 494 nt
Filed under: uncultured bacterium
Lineage: Bacteria
Description: partial 16S ribosomal RNA
Rfam family: Bacterial small subunit ribosomal RNA
Source: RNAcentral
GACGAACGCUGGCGGCGUGCUUAACACAUGCAAGUCGAACGGUGAAGCGCCUUCCUUUUUGGUGGGUGUGGAUGAGUGGCGAACGGGUGAGUAACACGUGAGUAACCUGCCCCCUUCUUCUGGAUAACCGCAUGAAAGUGUGGCUAAUACGGGAUAUUCUGGGUCUGUCGCAUGAUGGGUCUGGGAAAGAUAUUGUUUCGGUGGGGGAUGGGCUCGCGGCCUAUCAGCUUGUUGGUGGGGUGAUGGCCUACCAAGGCGGUGACGGGUAGCCGGCCUGGGAGGGUGGACGGCCAGAGUGGGAGUGAGACACGGCCGAGACUCCGACGGGAGGCAGCAGUGGGGAAUAGUGCACAGUGGGCGCAAGCCUGAUGCAGCGACGCCGCGUGAGGGAUGGAGGCCUGCGGGUUGUGAACCUCUUUCGGCAGUGAAGCAGGCCUGCCUCGUUUGUGGGUGGGUUGACGGUAGCUGGAUAAGAAGCGCCGGCUAACUACGUG